This 106-nucleotide ribosomal RNA is filed under the name Salvator merianae (Argentine black and white tegu). Lineage: Eukaryota; Metazoa; Chordata; Lepidosauria; Squamata; Teiidae. The record is from RNAcentral.
GUAAGCUGCCCCUCACUGAUCUUGUUUGAGCUUGAAAGUGAAUCAGUGUCGGACCUGGUUAGUACUUAUCUAGGAGACUGUCUAGGAACGCCAGCUGCUGCAGGCU